CAGCCGCCGCGGGAAAACGGAGGGUGCAAGCGUUAAUCGGAAUUACUGGGCGUAAAGCGCACGCAGGCGGUUUGUUAAGUCAGAUGUGAAAUCCCCGAGCUUAACUUGGGAACUGCAUUUGAAACUGGCAAGCUAGAGUCUUGUAGAGGGGGGUAGAAUUCCAGGUGUAGCGGUGAAAUGCGUAGAGAUCUGGAGGAAUACCGGUGGCGAAGGCGGCCCCCUGGACAAAGACUGACGCUCAGGUGCGAAAGCGUGGGGAGCAAACAGGAUUAGAUACCCGAGUAGUCCCUGUCUCUUAUAC
This 301-nucleotide ribosomal RNA is filed under the name uncultured bacterium. Its description in RNAcentral is "partial 16S ribosomal RNA". It matches the Rfam family "Bacterial small subunit ribosomal RNA", at positions 509 to 807 of the family's 1533-position model. The record is from RNAcentral.